GCCAGUGUGAUGUAGUGGUUUGAGUGUUGGACUAUGAUUCUGAAGACCAGGGUUUGAUUCUCAGCUCAGCCA
This 72-nucleotide transfer RNA is filed under the name Phrynosoma platyrhinos (Desert horned lizard). RNAcentral's name for it is "tRNA-OTHER". The record is from RNAcentral. Lineage: Eukaryota; Metazoa; Chordata; Lepidosauria; Squamata; Phrynosomatidae.